RNAcentral lists this ribosomal RNA (450 nucleotides) under uncultured bacterium. Its description in RNAcentral is "partial 16S ribosomal RNA". It matches the Rfam family "Bacterial small subunit ribosomal RNA", at positions 354 to 796 of the family's 1533-position model. The record is from RNAcentral.
GUGGGGAAUAUUGGACAAUGGGCGAAAGCCUGAUCCAGCCAUGCCGCGUGUGUGAAGAAGGUCUUCGGAUUGUAAAGCACUUUAAGUUGGGAGGAAGGGCAGUAAGUUAAUACCUUGCUGUUUUGACGUUACCGACAGAAUAAGCACCGGCUAACUUCGUGCCAGCAGCCGCGGUAUUACGAAUGGUGCAAGCGUUAAUCGGAAUUACUGGGCGUAAAGCGCGCGUAGGUGGUUUUGUAAGGUGGAGGUGAAAUCCCCGGGCUCAACCUGGGAACUGCCUCCAAAACUUCAUGACUAGAGUACGGUAGAGGGUAGUGGAAUUUCCUGUGUAGCGGUGAAAUGCGUAGAUAUAGGAAGGAACACCAGUGGCGAAGGCGACUACCUGGACUGAUACUGACACUGAGGUGCGAAAGCGUGGGGAGCAAACAGGAUUAGAUACCCCUGUAGUCC